AUGGACUCUGAAGAAGAUUCAUCGGUACAACACGUUAAUGUUGAACAGAACACUACGAAGGGCACUAAAAAGUAUAGGACUAGGAACACAUGUCGCGUUGUACAUUCUGAUGAAGAAUCAGAAGAGGAUAGGCAGGAGAAAGAUGAAUGCAAAUUCAAGGAAUCUAGCCCCAAAAGAAAGCGUACAAUAAGCAUUACUGAAGACGAAGAUUCUGAAAAAGAUGGAACUGAGAAUUAUUCAAAGACCAGCAUAAGGCUUACUGGUGUUGAUAAGGGAUCUAAGAAGAAAGGAAUUCAGAAUGAUAACCAUGAGCAAGUGAACAAAUUAUCACUUUCAAAAAAUAUAAAGCAAGAAUCAGAGGAUGAUGAACUCACUAUUGACCAGACUAAAAGGGGUAGGAGACGGAGCACAAGUCGUGCUGCACAUCUUGACGAUGAAUCAAAAGCUGAAGGUAGUCAGGAAAUAAACAAAUCCAAAUCUACGGAAUCAAGCCCCAAGAGGAAGCGUGUUGUACGCAAAUGCGCCAGUGUUGAUUAG
This 537-nucleotide ribosomal RNA is filed under the name Triticum aestivum (bread wheat). RNAcentral describes it as "partial small subunit ribosomal RNA". Lineage: Eukaryota; Viridiplantae; Streptophyta; Magnoliopsida; Poales; Poaceae. The record is from RNAcentral.